Molecule: non-coding RNA, 70 nt
Organism: Dipodomys ordii (Ord's kangaroo rat)
Lineage: Eukaryota; Metazoa; Chordata; Mammalia; Rodentia; Heteromyidae
Source: Rfam
GGGAAUGUGGCUUAGUGGUAGAGUGCUUGCCUGGCACGCAUGAAACCCUGGGCUCGAUUCCUCAGUACCA